ACCACCUUAUAUCGCCUAGGAGAUGAAUUAAACAUAUUGUUAGAAUUGUACCAUCUCCACAAUAUCUCAUAUUUAUUUAUUCUUUAUUUCCUUUUAUCUUAUAGAGAUACUUUGAUCAUCAUGUGGUAGCUGCACACACUGACCGGACGACCGGGGUGGUAGCUCUUUCCUCCAUGUGGUGGUAGUUUUCACACUCCCAGUAGGGAUGUAACUCUUUCCACAUCUUUUGAAUUUAAGAAAUUUUCAUAACUGGAAAGACUCCCCCUAAAUUAGUACAACCCUCAAGUCAAAAAUAUUAUCGCAAUUUCAAAAACAGAGAAAUAGUUAUUCAUCUCAUAGCUAAUAAUCAAACAAAACAAUUGCAACGUUCAAAGUUCGAAGCAUGAGGUGUUGAAUUUAACUCAGUAUACUAAAACAGAAUUUCAAUGAUUUAAUCGUUCAAAAAUUAUGACAACAGAGAAUAACAUUGACAGUGAUCAAUCAAAACAUAAUAUGAAACAAUUACAGCCAUAUAAUAGAGCUCACAAAAAUAUGAUAUUGACAGUGACA
RNAcentral lists this long non-coding RNA (549 nucleotides) under Ananas comosus (pineapple). RNAcentral describes it as "long non-coding RNA (ACOM_LNC026201)". Lineage: Eukaryota; Viridiplantae; Streptophyta; Magnoliopsida; Poales; Bromeliaceae. The record is from RNAcentral.